Molecule: ribosomal RNA, 520 nt
Filed under: uncultured Glomus
Lineage: Eukaryota; Fungi; Glomeromycota; Glomeromycetes; Glomerales; Glomeraceae
Description: SSU rRNA
Rfam family: Eukaryotic small subunit ribosomal RNA
Source: RNAcentral
AGCAGCCGCGGUAAUUCCAGCUCCAAUAGCGUAUAUUAAAGUUGUUGCAGUUAAAAAGCUCGUAGUUGAAUUUCGGGAUCAAUAUAUCGGUCGUGCCUUGGUACGUACUGGUAUCAUUGGUUUCUCCUUUCUGACGAACCAUGAUGUCAUUAAUUUGGUGUUAUGGGAAGUUAGGACUGUUACUUUGAAAAAAUUGAGUGUUUAAAGCAGGCUUUAGCUUGAAUACAUUAGCAUGGAGUAAUGAAAUAGGACGUUUGAUCCUAUUUUGUUGGUUUCUAGGAUUGACGUAAUGAUUAAUAGGGAUAGUUGGGGGCAUUAGUAUUCAAUUGUCAGAGGUGAAAUUCUUGGAUUUAUUGAAGACUAACUACUGCGAAAGCAUUUGCCAAGGNUGUUUUCAUUAAUCAAGAACGAAGUUAGGGAUCGAAGACGAUCAGAUACCGUCGUAGUCUUAACCAUAAACUAUGCCGACUAGGGAUCGGAUGAUGUUAAUUUUUAUGACUUCUAUCGGCGCCUUACGGGA